UGCCAUGUGAGCCCCUUUGAAGGUAAU
Molecule: non-coding RNA, 27 nt
Filed under: Mus musculus (house mouse)
Lineage: Eukaryota; Metazoa; Chordata; Mammalia; Rodentia; Muridae
Source: RNAcentral